GCCGGGCGCUGUGGCGGGCACCUGUGGUCCCAGCUACUUGGGAGGCUGAGGCAGGAGACUCGCUUGAGCCCAGGAGUUGGAGGUUGCUGUGAGCUGUAAUGCCACGGCACUCUGCCCAGGGGGACAGCUUGAGGCUCUGUCUCAAAAAAAAAAAAAAAAAAAAAAUUUUUUUUUUUUUUGAGACAGAGUCUUAAGCUGUCGCCCUGGGUAGGGUGCCAUGGCAUCACAGCUCACAGCAACCUCCAACUCUUGGGCCUAAGCGAUUCUCUUGCCUCAG
Otolemur garnettii (small-eared galago) is the source of this 277-nucleotide non-coding RNA. The record is from Rfam. NCBI's taxonomy places the organism in Eukaryota, Metazoa, Chordata, Mammalia, Primates, Galagidae.